RNAcentral lists this ribosomal RNA (433 nucleotides) under uncultured bacterium. RNAcentral describes it as "partial 16S ribosomal RNA". It matches the Rfam family "Bacterial small subunit ribosomal RNA", at positions 29 to 507 of the family's 1533-position model. The record is from RNAcentral.
AACGAACGCUGGCGGCAUGCCUAACACAUGCAAGUCGAACGAGACCUUCGGGUCUAGUGGCGCACGGGUGCGUAACGCGUGGGAACCUGCCCUUAGGUUUGGAAUAACUCCCCGAAAGGGGUGCUAAUACCGGAUAAUGUCUUCGGACCAAAGAUUUAUCGCCUUUGGAUGGGCCCGCGUUGGAUUAGCUAGUUGGUAGGGUAAAAGCCUACCAAGGCGACGAUCCAUAGCUGGUCUGAGAGGAUGAUCAGCCACACUGGGACUGAGACACGGCCCAGACUCCUACGGGAGGCAGCAGUGGGGAAUAUUGGACAAUGGGCGAAAGCCUGAUCCAGCAAUGCCGCGUGAGUGAUGAAGGCCUUAGGGUUGUAAAGCUCUUUUACCCGGGAUGAUAAUGACAGUACCGGGAGAAUAAGCGCCGGCUAACUCCGUG